AUAUCUCAUCAUUGAGGAUGGUC
This 23-nucleotide non-coding RNA is filed under the name Arabidopsis thaliana (thale cress). The record is from RNAcentral. Lineage: Eukaryota; Viridiplantae; Streptophyta; Magnoliopsida; Brassicales; Brassicaceae.